GUCUCGUUUGUCACCUCAAAGCAUCUCUGGAACAUAGCCUUGGUGUACAGUUUUUUGAAAUUUGAGAUAACUUGCUGGUGCAUGGUCUGGAUGAGAGGAG
Non-coding RNA from Chiloscyllium plagiosum (whitespotted bambooshark), 100 nucleotides. The record is from RefSeq and is a predicted model, not a curated record. Lineage: Eukaryota; Metazoa; Chordata; Chondrichthyes; Orectolobiformes; Hemiscylliidae.